AACGAACGCUGGCGGCAUGCCUAACACAUGCAAGUCGAACGAGACCUUCGGGUCUAGUGGCGCACGGGUGCGUAACGCGUGGGAACCUGCCCUUAGGUUCGGAAUAACUCCCCGAAAGGGGUGCUAAUACCGGAUAAUGUCUUCGGACCAAAGAUUUAUCGCCUUUGGAUGGGCCCGCGUUGGAUUAGCUAGUUGGUAGGGUAAAAGCCUACCAAGGCGACGAUCCAUAGCUGGUCUGAGAGGAUGAUCAGCCACACUGGGACUGAGACACGGCCCAGACUCCUACGGGAGGCAGCAGUGGGGAAUAUUGGAAAAUGGGCGAAAGCUUGAUCCAGCAAUGCCGCGUGAGUGAGGAAGGCCUUAGGGUUGUAAAGCUCUUUUACCCGGGAUGAUAAGGACGGUACCGGGAGAAAAAGCCCCGGCUAGUUCCGUG
This 433-nucleotide ribosomal RNA is filed under the name uncultured bacterium. RNAcentral describes it as "partial 16S ribosomal RNA". It matches the Rfam family "Bacterial small subunit ribosomal RNA", at positions 29 to 507 of the family's 1533-position model. The record is from RNAcentral.